AAACCAACCGGGAUUGCCUUAGUAACGGCGAGUGAAGCGGCAAAAGCUCAAAUUUGAAAUCUGGUACCUUCGGUGCCCGAGUUGUAAUUUGGAGAGGGUAACUUUGGGGCCGUUCCUUGUCUAUGUUCCUUGGAACAGGACGUCAUAGAGGGUGAGAAUCCCGUGUGGCGAGGAGUGCGGUUCUUUGUAAAGUGCCUUCGAAGAGUCGAGUUGUUUGGGAAUGCAGCUCUAAGUGGGUGGUAAAUUCCAUCUAAAGCUAAAUAUUGGCGAGAGACCGAUAGCGAACAAGUACAGUGAUGGAAAGAUGAAAAGAACUUUGAAAAGAGAGUGAAAAAGUACGUGAAAUUGUUGAAAGGGAAGGGCAUUUGAUCAGACAUGGUGUUUUGUGCCCUCUGCUCCUUGUGGGUAGGGGAAUCUCGCAUUUCACUGGGCCAGCAUCAGUUUUGGUGGCAGGAUAAAUCCAUAGGAAUGUAGCUUGCCUCGGUAAGUAUUAUAGCCUGUGGGAAUACUGCCAGCUGGGACUGAGGACUGCGACGUAAGUCAAGGAUGCUGGCAUAAUGGUUAUAUGCCGC
This 572-nucleotide ribosomal RNA is filed under the name Saccharomyces cerevisiae (brewer's yeast). RNAcentral describes it as "eukaryotic LSU rRNA". It matches the Rfam family "Eukaryotic large subunit ribosomal RNA", at positions 62 to 648 of the family's 3401-position model. The record is from RNAcentral. Lineage: Eukaryota; Fungi; Ascomycota; Saccharomycetes; Saccharomycetales; Saccharomycetaceae.